UACAAGUAUCACACAGAGCUUUAAAAAA
RNAcentral lists this non-coding RNA (28 nucleotides) under Rattus norvegicus (Norway rat). Lineage: Eukaryota; Metazoa; Chordata; Mammalia; Rodentia; Muridae. The record is from RNAcentral.